AAAAAAAAAUCAGGACUGACAUCUGUUUAGAUGAUAGCAGGGGUCAUGUCCUUGGUAAGGGCCCUCCAUUAGACUUCCUCUGGGAUAUUAAUCAUCAUGUUUCAGGAUUAAUUCUUGUCACUUCAGCAUUUUUCUACCUAACCCACUCACCCUUCAGCAUGAGAUUUUUCCUCAACGCAGAUAUCCUGAUGUACAAAUGCAAAGCUUUAGUGGUGUCCUAAAUCUAUGAUCCCACCAAAUUAUCACUUCAUCAGCCCAAUUUGCAAGGAAUAAUGUUGAGCUUGUUGUAGAACAAUAAUGCACCAAGUUGGUAAAUG
This 317-nucleotide long non-coding RNA is filed under the name Phoenix dactylifera (date palm). RNAcentral describes it as "long non-coding RNA (PDAC_LNC005858)". The record is from RNAcentral. Lineage: Eukaryota; Viridiplantae; Streptophyta; Magnoliopsida; Arecales; Arecaceae.